CGCGGCGGAGGGAGGCGCGGCGCGGCGCGGCGCGGCGGGGGGGCGGGGGGCGCGGGGCGCGGGGCGCCGGCCGGGGAGGGGCCGCGGCGGGGGCUCUCGGGCCGGCCGGGGGGCUGGCGCUCGGCGGCCCCCACCCCCGGCGCGGGCUGCGGCGGAGGGCGGGGCGCGGCGCGGGGAGCGGAGCCGAGAGCGGGAGCGCAGGGAGGCUCUUUGUUCUGUAAUCCCAGUAAGAUUGCCAGCCAUUCGCCCCGGCCCUAAUCCCAGCCCCGCGCAACACCACCCUCCAUUGGCUGCCAUUUACAUACGGGAUUAGCCCGCCCGGCCCGCCCCGCGCCCCGGCCUGGGCACCGCGGGGGGAGCGCCGCGCCCCCGCCCCGCCCCCGGCGCCCCGAGCGCGCGCCGCCCCAGCGCCCGCCGCCAGGGGGGCCUGCGGGAGGGGCGCCCGCGGCCUCGGCGCCCCCUGGCUGCCCGGCGACGCCCCUCCGCCUCCCCAGCGCCCCGUCAGGGGCGGAUUAGGAAGCCGGGGCGCGGGGUUCCCGGGGCGCAGGGUCAAGGUCACUCAGCGGGCGCGGGGAGACACCCUGGAGCAGGGCCCGGCGCCCUGCGCGGCGGAGGCGGCGGCGGCGGCUGGAGAACCGAAGUCGUCGGCUGACUGGUCACUCCCACCUUGCCCAGGUUGGCUUCCGGUGGCCGGUCCAGGUCUCAGCCCCAGCUCGCCUCCUCCGAGAAGUCUUCCCAGAUCUCUGGCUUCCCCGAGCUCCUUCAUCCCCCGCUGCCCACGUUGCCCAAUGUCACCCAUCGUCCUCUUCUAUCAGGAUGCACUGGUCUCCCCUCUGGACCAUGGCUUCACCAGGGCAGCGCUGGGGUCCCCUUCUUUCCCGGGCUUCUUGCCUCCUAGUCCCACGUGGUGUGGCCUCGUGCAGGCCCGGGCAAACAGGACCAGCCGUCCUCGAACACCUGCAUUUCCAGCACAUGGCAGGACACUCCACACGCACUGGACGUGUGGAUGAGCGACAGUCCCGAAGGGCAGGGACCGCUCUGUCUCCUCUCUUUGGCCCACACCUCCUACCCCAGGAUUUCCUUGUGUGGGGAACACUGUCGGUGUUCCUUCCAUAAGGCGCUCGGGGGGUUCAGUCAGUUUGCUUCUUGUCUGCAAAAGGAAAACCCACGGGUAUUUUACAGAACAUCGGCUACGUGCCGGGUGCAGUGACAGACCCUGGGACCCGCAGAGCAGAUCUCACCACCCCUGUCUUCUUGGAGCCCAGCGCUAGUUGGAGAGACAGGCACACCUAGGAAUAAAUACCAGGUCAUUAGAAAACGAAAGAGGAGA
Molecule: long non-coding RNA, 1330 nt
Filed under: Felis catus (domestic cat)
Lineage: Eukaryota; Metazoa; Chordata; Mammalia; Carnivora; Felidae
Description: lncRNA (ENSFCAG00000050702.1)
Source: RNAcentral